RNAcentral lists this ribosomal RNA (459 nucleotides) under uncultured bacterium. RNAcentral describes it as "partial 16S ribosomal RNA". It matches the Rfam family "Bacterial small subunit ribosomal RNA", at positions 338 to 795 of the family's 1533-position model. The record is from RNAcentral.
CCUACGGGAGGCAGCAGUGAGGAAUAUUGGUCAAUGGGCGGGAGCCUGAACCAGCCAAGCCGCGUGAGGGAAGAAGGUACAGCGUAUCGUAAACCUCUUUUGUCAGGGAACAAAGGCGGGGACUAGUCCCCGGAUGAGGGUACCUGAAGAAAAAGCAUCGGCUAACUCCGUGCCAGCAGCCGCGGUAAUACGGGGGAUGCGAGCGUUAUCCGGAUUUAUUGGGUUUAAGGGGUGCGCAGGCGGCCUGUUAAGUCAGCGGGAAAAGCCCGGGGCUCAACCCCGGCGAGCCGUUUAAACUGGCGGGCUGGAGUUGGAGAGAAGUACGAGGAAUGCGUGGUGUAGCGGUGAAAUGCGUAGAUAUCGCGCAGAACACCGAUUGCGAAGGCAGCGGACCGGCUCCACACUGACGCUGAGGCACGAAAGCGUGGGUAUCGAACAGGAUUAGAUACCCUAGUAGUC